RNAcentral lists this ribosomal RNA (253 nucleotides) under uncultured bacterium. Its description in RNAcentral is "partial 16S ribosomal RNA". It matches the Rfam family "Bacterial small subunit ribosomal RNA", at positions 524 to 776 of the family's 1533-position model. The record is from RNAcentral.
UACGUAGGGUGCAAGCGUUGUCCGGAAUUAUUGGGCGUAAAGAGCUCGUAGGUGGUUUGUCGCGUUGUCCGUGAAAACUCACAGCUCAACUGUGGGCGUGCGGGCGAUACGGGCAGACUGGAGUACUGCAGGGGAGACUGGAAUUCCUGGUGUAGCGGUGGAAUGCGCAGAUAUCAGGAGGAACACCGGUGGCGAAGGCGGGUCUCUGUGCAGUAACUGACGCUGAGGAGCGAAAGCGUGGGGAGCGAACAGG